AGACUCACGUCCUCAGGUGCAGGUGCCGGGCCCUCCUCCAACAGUGAUCUCCGGCUCCCUCCCCGCUCAGGGGCCACUCUGCUCUGAUACGGGCUCUGAUGCCGGCCUGCAGCUCCCCUGCUCUUGGUUUCUGCCUGGUGUCACCUUCUUCCACGACACCCAGUCCCAGGAUGACUGACGCCCAGGGAGAUCUGUCGCCUCUCCGCAGAGACCACGUGUGUUCACCCUCGGCAGCAACACGCUGCUCCUUCCUCAAGAUUCCGGCUGUGGGCUCCUUGGAGGAAGAGCAGAGGUGAGGCGCUUCUCAUGCCACCACAUCAGGGGUCCUGCCUCGGCCCGGCUCACUGCUGAUGUUGACCUCGGCUACCUGGCAGAGUGUGCUGGCCAGGUUUCUCCAGCAUGAAGUCACUCUCGUUUCCCUCGUAAGUUAUACUCUAGUUUAUCAAUCUUCUAGUUUAUGGCUUGUGUCUUCUCUAUGAAACCCUUGCCUAACCUCUCAGUUUCGAAGGUAUGAGAAGGAGGAGUCAAGAUUCUUUUUUCUUUUCAUGUGGAUAUCCAGUUUUGUUUUAUUUAUUUAUAUAUUUUAUAUUUUAGAGACAGGAUCUCACUCUAUCGCCCAAGCUGCGAUCACAGCUUACUGCAGCCUGAAACCCCUGGGCUCAAGGGAUCCUCCUGCCUCAGUGUGCACCUCCGUGCCUGGCCUACAUCUCUGUGUAGAGACACAGAGUCUUAUGACGUUGCCCACGCUGGUCUCAAACUUCUGGGCCCAAGCAAUCCUCCCACCUUGGCAUCCCAAAGUCCUGGGACUACAGGCAUGAGCCCCACUACGCCUGGCCUGAUAUCCAGUUAUUUCAGUACCAUGUUUCCCCCUGUGGUUUUGGCCUGCUUGUUGAAAAUCAUGGGAUGGUGCCUGUCAGCCUAUUUCUGUAAUCUCUGCUCUAUGCCAGUGAGCUAUUUCUUUAUGGCCUUACUGGUGCAAGAUUUGACAACUCUUCUGAUGGUGCCGUUCCUUUCCAGAUGGCUGUGGCUGCCCUUAGACCUUCACUUCUCUAUGAACUUCUAAAUCAUCCUGUUAAUUUAGAGGAAAAGUCCACAGGGACUCCAAUUGAGAUUUCAUUGAAUGAUUAGAUCAAUUUGUGAAGAAUUAGACAUGGUAUAUUUAGAGAUAUAUCUCUCAGAUAAUUUUUGGUGUAGAGGUUUUCACAUAUAUUGUGAAAUUUAUCCCUAAGUAUUUGAUUUUACUAUUAUAGAUAGUAUUUUUGACUUCAUUUUAAAUUAGUCAUCAGCAGUAUAUAGAAA
Molecule: long non-coding RNA, 1299 nt
Filed under: Homo sapiens (human)
Lineage: Eukaryota; Metazoa; Chordata; Mammalia; Primates; Hominidae
Description: LHRI_LNC913.1
Source: RNAcentral